UAACGCGAAGAACCUUACCAGGUCUUGACAUCUUCUGCUAACCUAAGAGAUUAGGCGUUCCCUUCGGGGACGGAAUGACAGGUGGUGCAUGGUUGUCGUCAGCUCGUGUCGUGAGAUGUUGGGUUAAGUCCCGCAACGAGCGCAACCCUUAUUGUCAGUUGCCAGCAUUUAGUUGGGCACUCUGGCGAGACUGCCGGUGACAAACCGGAGGAAGGUGGGGAUGACGUCAAAUCAUCAUGCCCCUUAUGACCUGGGCUACACACGUGCUACAAUGGGUGGUACAACGAGCAGCGAGACCGCGAGGUCAAGCGAAUCUCUAAAAACCAUCCUCAGUUCGGAUUGCAGGCUGCAACUCGCCUGCAUGAAGCUGGAAUCGCUAGUAAUCGCGGAUCAGC
Molecule: ribosomal RNA, 395 nt
Filed under: uncultured bacterium
Lineage: Bacteria
Description: bacterial SSU rRNA
Rfam family: Bacterial small subunit ribosomal RNA
Source: RNAcentral